This 1210-nucleotide ribosomal RNA is filed under the name metagenome. RNAcentral describes it as "bacterial SSU rRNA". It matches the Rfam family "Bacterial small subunit ribosomal RNA", at positions 278 to 1498 of the family's 1533-position model. The record is from RNAcentral.
GAUCAGUAGGGGUUCUGAGAGGAAGGUCCCCCACAUUGGAACUGAGACACGGUCCAAACUCCUACGGGAGGCAGCAGUGAGGAAUAUUGGUCAAUGGACGAGAGUCUGAACCAGCCAAGUAGCGUGCAGGAAGACGGCCCUAUGGGUUGUAAACUGCUUUUAUAAGGGAAUAAAGUGAGAGUCGUGACUCUUUUUGCAUGUACCUUAUGAAUAAGGACCGGCUAAUUCCGUGCCAGCAGCCGCGGUAAUACGGAAGGUCCGGGCGUUAUCCGGAUUUAUUGGGUUUAAAGGGAGCGUAGGCCGGAGAUUAAGCGUGUUGUGAAAUGUAGACGCUCAACGUCUGCACUGCAGCGCGAACUGGUUUCCUUGAGUACGCACAAAGUGGGCGGAAUUCGUGGUGUAGCGGUGAAAUGCUUAGAUAUCACGAAGAACUCCGAUUGCGAAGGCAGCUCACUGGAGCGCAACUGACGCUGAAGCUCGAAAGUGCGGGUAUCGAACAGGAUUAGAUACCCUGGUAGUCCGCACGGUAAACGAUGGAUGCCCGCUGUUGGUCUGAAUAGGUCAGCGGCCAAGCGAAAGCAUUAAGCAUCCCACCUGGGGAGUACGCCGGCAACGGUGAAACUCAAAGGAAUUGACGGGGGCCCGCACAAGCGGAGGAACAUGUGGUUUAAUUCGAUGAUACGCGAGGAACCUUACCCGGGCUUGAAUUGCAGAGGAAGGAUUUGGAGACAAUGACGCCCUUCGGGGCCUCUGUGAAGGUGCUGCAUGGUUGUCGUCAGCUCGUGCCGUGAGGUGUCGGCUUAAGUGCCAUAACGAGCGCAACCCCUCUCCUUAGUUGCCAUCAGGUUAAGCUGGGCACUCUGGGGACACUGCCACCGUAAGGUGUGAGGAAGGUGGGGAUGACGUCAAAUCAGCACGGCCCUUACGUCCGGGGCUACACACGUGUUACAAUGGCAGGUACAGAGAGACGGUCCCUUGCAAAACGGAUCAAAUCCUUAAAGCCUGUCUCAGUUCGGACUGGGGUCUGCAACCCGACCCCACGAAGCUGGAUUCGCUAGUAAUCGCGCAUCAGCCAUGGCGCGGUGAAUACGUUCCCGGGCCUUGUACACACCGCCCGUCAAGCCAUGAAAGCCGGGGGCGCCUAAAGUCCGUGACCGUAAGGAGCGGCCUAGGGCGAAACUGGUAAUUGGGGCUAAGUCGUAACAAGGUA